GAGGAUUAGCUCAGCUGGGAGAGCAUCUGCCUUACAAGCAGGAGGUCACAGGUUCGAUCCCUGUAUCCUCC
RNAcentral lists this transfer RNA (71 nucleotides) under Lentilactobacillus buchneri. It matches the Rfam family "tRNA". Rfam says of the family: Transfer RNA (tRNA) molecules are approximately 80 nucleotides in length. Their secondary structure includes four short double-helical elements and three loops (D, anti-codon, and T loops). Lineage: Bacteria; Bacillati; Bacillota; Bacilli; Lactobacillales; Lactobacillaceae. The record is from RNAcentral. RNAcentral also lists the same sequence under 5 other names.